GAUGGGAGUAGCCAUUUUCUUUUCUCUUCGUCAGAGAAGAUAAAAUCAGAAACCUUCUUAUGCUUUAUUUUCUUUGGAUUUGGUCAGGUUUUUUGUCCUACGUUGGAACUGAAUUAAUUUCAGCAUGACACUGUAAGAUGGCGAGCCUUCCCAGUGAGAUGAACAUUGAUUGUCGCGAGAGCUAGGUUCCAACCAACACCCGAGGAAUUGGGAGACAUGUCCUCACUGCGUGCUAGUGCCGGAAGAGCAGGAGAUUGAAAUCUGCAGCAGGGAGCCAAGGAUAACAAAAGACCUCCACACUGCAGUUGGAUGGUUGCAGAAAAACCUCUGUGUCUUCAGAAGAUUGGUGAAAGAGCUGAGGUUCCCCCAACUGAAAGAGGAAGCUCUUCUUCAGCUUUCACAGGCCAAAAUGGCUGACGACCAGCAACUGGCCAAAGAACCUUUUGUUUUCCAAUUCCAAUUUAAGGAGAAUAUGUACAUUUUUCUCAAUGAGUGCAUGGACAAAAGGGGCCUCAAAAUAAAUUGCAUGUUUCUCGAGUUUUGAUUUAUUUUAGUUUUCUUUUGUCAAUUUUGAUCAUUAUUGUUAAAUGUGU
Long non-coding RNA from Sinocyclocheilus rhinocerous, 593 nucleotides. RefSeq lists it as uncharacterized. The transcript has 4 exons. NCBI's taxonomy places the organism in Eukaryota, Metazoa, Chordata, Actinopteri, Cypriniformes, Cyprinidae. The record is from RefSeq and is a predicted model, not a curated record.